This 311-nucleotide unclassified non-coding RNA is filed under the name plant metagenome. Its description in RNAcentral is "partial contains 5.8S ribosomal RNA, internal transcribed spacer 2, and large subunit ribosomal RNA". The stretch from base 1 to 106 matches the Rfam family "5.8S ribosomal RNA", at positions 49 to 154 of the family's 154-position model. The record is from RNAcentral.
CGAAAUGCGAUAAGUAGUGUGAAUUGCAGAAUUCAGUGAAUCAUCGAAUCUUUGAACGCACAUUGCGCCCCUUGGUAUUCCAUGGGGCAUGCCUGUUCGAGCGUCAUUUGUACCCUCAAGCUCUGCUUGGUGUUGGGUGUUUGUCCCCGUCUCCGCGCGUGGACUCACCCCAAAGUGAUUGGCAGCCGGCGUACUGGUCCCGGAGCGCAGCACAUGUCGCGCAAACGAGUGCCUUGGUACGGCGGCGUCCAUAAGCCCCUCUCUCACGCUCUUGACCUCGGAUCAGGUAGGGAUACCCGCUGAACUUAAGC